Molecule: ribosomal RNA, 340 nt
Filed under: Proteus mirabilis
Lineage: Bacteria; Pseudomonadati; Pseudomonadota; Gammaproteobacteria; Enterobacterales; Morganellaceae
Description: bacterial SSU rRNA
Rfam family: Bacterial small subunit ribosomal RNA
Source: RNAcentral
UGACGUUCAGGUGCGAAAGCGUGGGGAGCAAACAGGAUUAGAUACCCUGGUAGUCCACGCUGUAAACGAUGUCGAUUUAGAGGUUGUGGUCUUGAACCGUGGCUUCUGGAGCUAACGCGUUAAAUCGACCGCCUGGGGAGUACGGCCGCAAGGUUAAAACUCAAAUGAAUUGACGGGGGCCCGCACAAGCGGUGGAGCAUGUGGUUUAAUUCGAUGCAACGCGAAGAACCUUACCUACUCUUGACAUCCAGCGAAUCCUUUAGAGAUAGAGGAGUGCCUUCGGGAACGCUGAGACAGGUGCUGCAUGGCUGUCGUCAGCUCGUGUUGUGAAAUGUUGGGU